UACGUAGGGUGCAAGCGUUAAUCGGAAUUACUGGGCGUAAAGCGUGCGCAGGCGGCUUUGCAAGACAGAUGUGAAAUCCCCGGGCUCAACCUGGGAACUGCAUUUGUGACUGCAUCGCUGGAGUACGGCAGAGGGGGAUGGAAUUCCGCGUGUAGCAGUGAAAUGCGUAGAUAUGCGGAGGAACACCGAUGGCGAAGGCAAUCCCCUGGGCCUGUACUGACGCUGAGGCACGAAAGCGUGGGGAGCAAACAGG
RNAcentral lists this ribosomal RNA (253 nucleotides) under uncultured bacterium. RNAcentral's name for it is "partial 16S ribosomal RNA". It matches the Rfam family "Bacterial small subunit ribosomal RNA", at positions 524 to 776 of the family's 1533-position model. The record is from RNAcentral.